RNAcentral lists this ribosomal RNA (451 nucleotides) under uncultured bacterium. Its description in RNAcentral is "partial 16S ribosomal RNA". It matches the Rfam family "Bacterial small subunit ribosomal RNA", at positions 354 to 796 of the family's 1533-position model. The record is from RNAcentral.
GUGGGGAAUAUUGGACAAUGGGGGGAACCCUGAUCCAGCCAUGCCGCGUGUGUGAAGAAGGCCUUUUGGUUGUAAAGCACUUUAAGCGAGGAGGAGGCUACCGAGAUUAAUACUCUUGGAUAGUGGACGUUACUCGCAGAAUAAGCACUGGCUAACUCUGUGCCAGCAGCCGCGGUAAUACAGAGGGUGCAAGCGUUAAUCGGAUUUACUGGGCGUAAAGCGCGCGUAGGUGGCCAAUUAAGUCAAAUGUGAAAUCCCCGAGCUUAACUUGGGAAUUGCAUUCGAUGCUGGUUGGCUAGAGUAUGGGAGAGGAUGGUAGAAUUCCAGGUGUAGCGGUGAAAUGCGUAGAGAUCUGGAGGAAUACCGAUGGCGAAGGCAGCCAUCUGGCCUAAUACUGACACUGAGGUGCGAAAGCAUGGGGAGCAAACAGGAUUAGAAACCCUGGUAGUCC